Molecule: ribosomal RNA, 499 nt
Filed under: uncultured bacterium
Lineage: Bacteria
Description: partial 16S ribosomal RNA
Rfam family: Bacterial small subunit ribosomal RNA
Source: RNAcentral
GACGAACGCUGGCGGCGUGCUUAACACAUGCAAGUCGAACGGGCCCGCCCCUGUUUUUGGGGGUGGGUUGAGUGGCGAACGGGUGAGUAUCACGUGAGUAACCUGCCCCCUGCUCCUGGAUAACUGCUUGAAAGGGCGGCUAAUACGGGGUGUGCCGGCUGGUCCGCAUGGGCCUGGUCGGGAUAGUUUCAUCUUCGGGUGUUUCGGUGGGGGAUGGGCUCGCGGCCUAUCAGCUUGUUGGUGGGGUGAUGGCCCACCAAGGCGGUGACGGGUAGCCGGCCUGAGAGGGUGGGCGGCCACACUGGGACUGAGACACGGCCCAGACUCCUGCGGGAGGCAGCAGUGGGGGGUAUUGCACGAUGGGCGGAAGCCUGAUGCAGCGACGUCGCGUGAGGGAUGGAGGCCUUCGGGUUGUGAACCUCUUUCUCCGGUGGUGAAGGCCCUGUCCGUUGCGGCGGGGUUGACGGUAGCCGGGUAUGAAGCGCCGGCUAACUACGUG